UGGACUAUACAACAGUAGUGGAGAAGAAGCAAGAAGUCUUAGCUGGCGGGGAUUAAGAGAAACAGUGGCGGACUGUCAUGUAUAUUGUAUAUCUAAUAACUACGCAAAUAUAAAAAAACUUUCUAAUUACUACCUGUGGCGAAGAAAAAUGAAAAGUUAAAUACUAUAAGGAAAAGCUAAAUGAGGUUCGAUUUACAUGCUGCCCCAGUCAAUUUUCCGGACUUAUAUGGCUGUAUAAAAAUAAAAAAUAAAAUAAAUCGAAAUUCCUUUUCCAAAAA
Belonocnema kinseyi is the source of this 278-nucleotide long non-coding RNA. RefSeq lists it as uncharacterized. The record is from RefSeq and is a predicted model, not a curated record. The transcript is spliced from 2 exons. Lineage: Eukaryota; Metazoa; Arthropoda; Insecta; Hymenoptera; Cynipidae.